CAAAAGCCUUGACUAUCACUAAAGAAAAUAUCAGCAAGAAAUAGACAAACUUCAAUUACAGGAGAUUGUGUCAUGCUGGCAUUGGCUGACAGCUUAGCUGUCCAAGCUCCUUGUACACUCAGGAAAGAGAGACCUCUGUGGAAGGCAAUUCAUGCCAGACUAAGAAAACUGAUCAAGAUGAAAGGAAUAAAUAGCUCUCAGGAGAAUGCCUGCCUUUAUGUACUUAUGGAAGAAGAUGGCUAAUCCUAGAUGCUCAGCUGUGUUAACGCCUAGGUGUUCUUGGACAUAUUCACCUGGUCGCAUUAAUCCUGGGAUGCCCUAAUUGUUUCAAGAAGCCUCUUCUGAACAUAAAAGAUCUGGAAAAUUCAUUGAAUUAUAUGUAUAUAUGUAUAUAUAUUGCCUUUUAAAUCAGCG
This 414-nucleotide long non-coding RNA is filed under the name Numida meleagris (helmeted guineafowl). Its description in RNAcentral is "lncRNA (ENSNMEG00000012228.1)". Lineage: Eukaryota; Metazoa; Chordata; Aves; Galliformes; Numididae. The record is from RNAcentral.